Molecule: long non-coding RNA, 663 nt
Organism: Balaenoptera ricei (Rice's whale)
Lineage: Eukaryota; Metazoa; Chordata; Mammalia; Artiodactyla; Balaenopteridae
Exons: 5
Source: RefSeq, a predicted model, not a curated record
GGGGCCGGCGUCGGGCCGCGGAAGGCGCGGAAGGCGGGUUCACCUGGCGGUAGUGCAGCGUGAGCGGCAGCAGGGGACACGGGUUUGAGCCCUGGUCCGGGAAGAUCCUACAUGCCGCAGAGCAACUAAGCCCAUGCACCACAACUACUGAGCCUGCGCUCUAGAGCCCGCGAGCCACAACUACGGAAGCCCACAUGCCUAGAGCCUGUGCUCUGCAGCAAGAGAAGCCACUGCAAUGAGAAGCCCGCGCACCGCAACGAAGAGUAGCCCCCGCUCACCUCAACUAGAGAAAAGCCCGCGCGCAGCAACGAAGACCCAACGCAGCCAAAAAAAAAAAGGCAUGAAAUUCUGACACGUGCUACCACAGUGAGGAGCCUUGAAGACGUCAUGCUGAGUGAAAGAAGGCAGACGAAAGGUCCCAUGUUAUAUGAUCCAUUUACAUGAAACGCCCAGAAUAGUGCGUCCCCCUCAGGACCGCCAGCUGAGUCAGGGCUGGGUGUCACUGUCCUUGAGGAGAGGGUGCACCCCGUAGCAUCUGAAGUGCAUUCUGGUUACCCUUCCUGCCACAGGUAUAAUAACCACCAGAAAAAAAAAAUACGCAAAACAAGACAGGCAAAGAGCCUUGUUCCUCUUGACUGAAGAACCACUGAUGAGCGACCACCC